Long non-coding RNA from Pomacea canaliculata, 866 nucleotides. RefSeq lists it as uncharacterized. The transcript is spliced from 2 exons. Lineage: Eukaryota; Metazoa; Mollusca; Gastropoda; Architaenioglossa; Ampullariidae. The record is from RefSeq and is a predicted model, not a curated record.
CAAGGCACACAAGCAGUAUAGCAUUAAGGUCGGUGUGCAUGAUUUCAAUUAGGCGAUGUCAUCAACUAUUGAAUCGGUCACCUGAAAUAUUGUUUAGGGUAUAGGGUAUGGACUGACGAUGGUACGUAUCACGAUUUUGUAAUUGUGUGUGUGUGGAGCGGCUUUUCUUUCUUCCUUUCCCUUCUUUUUUACCCGCAAGAUGGAUCAUAGAUCCAAGAUUCAGUUCUCUAUACUCUGCAAAAAGUAUGGGCAUACAUAUAUAUUUUUGUGAAAUAUAACACAGUGAGCUCCAUGUUUCUGUCUGUCCAGCGUCUUCGAGUCUCACAGGUGUUGAUGCGACGGUCAUGGGCGCCUGUCAGUCAGCCUGUAAAUGCUGUCGUCGCAGUGACCAUGACUACGAAACCCUGGCUGGCGACACACACGGGGAGAGAAAGCUGCUUGUGUGUCGUCGACAAAAUCCUCGACUGAAUCUUCCUCAGACUCUCAGUCAUACAAGUGGUCGGACGACAGUGAGCAGUACUUCACCGCCUCUGAAGGCGGCACGUGACAUUGUACAACCGAAGUCUUCUACUUCUUCGUCCUCUUAAAGAACUAUGCAAACAGACGGCUAUAUGGUGGUGAUAUUUAUUUUAUAGGUGGCGCUAGCCGCAAGUACCCCGAGACACGGUGGGAAGUUUUUGGUUCCAUUUUUUUCUGCAAACAGUCUGGCAACUACGGUCGACAGUCUUUGCUGCCUGGUUAACUCCUGACAGUUAAACAGCUUCUGGUGUUUGUCCAUUCUGACUGCUUCAUUGUAGCCAUCCAGCCAGAGACUAGUUGUUCUAGAGUGCACUUGUUUAUGGUUUGAAUUUAAAUGUUUCUUUGUA